This 200-nucleotide ribosomal RNA is filed under the name uncultured prokaryote. RNAcentral's name for it is "partial 16S ribosomal RNA". It matches the Rfam family "Bacterial small subunit ribosomal RNA", at positions 1183 to 1382 of the family's 1533-position model. The record is from RNAcentral.
GGUCAAAUCAUCAUGCCCUUUAUGUCUUGGGCAACACACGUGCUACAAUGGCUGCAACAAAGUGAAGCAAGCCGGCGACGGCGAGCCAACCACAAAAAAGCAGUCUCAGUUCGGAUUGCAGUCUGCAACUCGACUGCAUGAAGCUGGAAUCGCUAGUAAUCGCGGAUCAGCAUGCCGCGGUGAAUACGUUCCCGGGCCUU